This 305-nucleotide ribosomal RNA is filed under the name uncultured bacterium. RNAcentral's name for it is "bacterial SSU rRNA". It matches the Rfam family "Bacterial small subunit ribosomal RNA", at positions 334 to 636 of the family's 1533-position model. The record is from RNAcentral.
UGUACCUACGGGGGGCAGCAGUGAGGAAUAUUGGUCAAUGGGCGGGAGCCUGAACCAGCCAAGUCGCGUGAGGGAAGAAGGUACUGAGUAUUGUAAACCUCUUUUGCCAGGGGACAAAGGCGGCCACGGGUGGCCGUAAGAGGGUACCUGGAGAAAAAGCAUCGGCUAACUCCGUGCCAGCAGCCGCGGUAAUACGGAGGGCGCGAGCGUUAAUCGGAAUUACUGGGCGUAAAGCGCGCGUAGGCUGUUGUGUAAGUUGGGGGUGAAAUCCCACGGCUCAACCGUGGAACAGCCCUUGAUACUGC